UACGUAGGUGGCAAGCGUUGUCCGGAAUUAUUGGGCGUAAAGCGCGCGCAGGCGGUCCUUUAAGUCUGAUGUGAAAGCCCACGGCUCAACCGUGGAGGGUCAUUGGAAACUGGAGGACUUGAGUACAGAAGAGGAAAGCGGAAUUCCACGUGUAGCGGUGAAAUGCGUAGAGAUGUGGAGGAACACCAGUGGCGAAGGCGGCUUUCUGGUCUGUAACUGGCGCUGAGGCGCGAAAGCGUGGGGAGCAAACAGG
This 253-nucleotide ribosomal RNA is filed under the name uncultured bacterium. RNAcentral describes it as "partial 16S ribosomal RNA". It matches the Rfam family "Bacterial small subunit ribosomal RNA", at positions 524 to 776 of the family's 1533-position model. The record is from RNAcentral.